RNAcentral lists this ribosomal RNA (482 nucleotides) under uncultured bacterium. RNAcentral's name for it is "bacterial SSU rRNA". It matches the Rfam family "Bacterial small subunit ribosomal RNA", at positions 585 to 1071 of the family's 1533-position model. The record is from RNAcentral.
AAGUGUGUUGUGAAAUGUAGACGCUCAACGUCUGACUUGCAGCGCAUACUGGUUUCCUUGAGUACGCACAACGUUGGCGGAAUUCGUCGUGUAGCGGUGAAAUGCUUAGAUAUGACGAAGAACUCCGAUUGCGAAGGCAGCUGACGGGAGUGCAACUGACGCUGAAGCUCGAAGGUGCGGGUAUCGAACAGGAUUAGAUACCCUGGUAGUCCGCACAGUAAACGAUGGAUGCCCGCUGUUGGUACCUGGUAUCAGCGGCUAAGCGAAAGCAUUAAGCAUCCCACCUGGGGAGUACGCCGGCAACGGUGAAACUCAAAGGAAUUGACGGGGGCCCGCACAAGCGGAGGAACAUGUGGUUUAAUUCGAUGAUACGCGAGGAACCUUACCCGGGCUUGAAUUGCAGAGGAAGGAUUUAGAGAUAAUGACGCCCUUCGGGGUCUCUGUGAAGGUGCUGCAUGGUUGUCGUCAGCUCGUGUCGUGAG